GAUGAACGCUGGCGGCGUGCUUAACACAUGCAAGUCGAACGGAGUGCCUUUGAAAGAGGAUUCGUCCAAUUGAUAAGGUUACUUAGUGGCGGACGGGUGAGUAACGCGUGAGGAACCUACCUUUAACAGGGGGAUAACACUGAGAAAUUGGUACUAAUACCCCAUAAUAUCAUAGAAGGCAUCUUUUAUGGUUGAAAAUUCCGAUGGUUAGAGAUGGGCAUGCGUUGUAUUAGCUAGUUGGUGGGGUAACGGCUCACCAAGGCGACGAUACAUAGGGGGACUGAGAGGUUAACCCCCCACACUGGUACUGAGACACGGACCAG
RNAcentral lists this ribosomal RNA (323 nucleotides) under uncultured bacterium. RNAcentral's name for it is "bacterial SSU rRNA". It matches the Rfam family "Bacterial small subunit ribosomal RNA", at positions 28 to 334 of the family's 1533-position model. The record is from RNAcentral.